UACGGAGGGUGCAAGCGUUAUCCGGAUUUACUGGGUUUAAAGGGUGUGUAGGCGGCUUUUUAAGUCAGGGGUGAAAUCCCGGGGCUCAACCCCGGAACUGCCUUUGAUACUAAAGAGCUUGAAUUAUGUUGAGGUUGGCGGAAUAUGACAUGUAGCGGUGAAAUGCAUAGAUAUGUCAUAGAACACCGAUUGCGAAGGCAGCUGACUAAGCAUAUAUUGACGCUGAGGCACGAAAGCGUGGGGAUCAAACAGG
RNAcentral lists this ribosomal RNA (253 nucleotides) under uncultured bacterium. RNAcentral's name for it is "partial 16S ribosomal RNA". It matches the Rfam family "Bacterial small subunit ribosomal RNA", at positions 524 to 776 of the family's 1533-position model. The record is from RNAcentral.